Non-coding RNA from Triticum aestivum (bread wheat), 135 nucleotides. Lineage: Eukaryota; Viridiplantae; Streptophyta; Magnoliopsida; Poales; Poaceae. The record is from Rfam.
CUUCUACUCCCUCCGUCCGAAAAUACUUGUCAUCAAAAUAGAUAAAAAGAGAUGUAUCUAGAACUAAAAUACGUCUAGAUCCAUCAUCUUUUAUCCAUUUUGAUGACAAGUAUUUCCGGACGGAGGGAGUAUAAA